Molecule: non-coding RNA, 270 nt
Filed under: Staphylococcus aureus
Lineage: Bacteria; Bacillati; Bacillota; Bacilli; Caryophanales; Staphylococcaceae
Description: Staphylococcus sRNA 35 (srn_0335)
Rfam family: Staphylococcus sRNA 35 (srn_0335)
About the family: Other name: Srn_0335, SAOUHSCs258. Northern blot transcript confirmed in exponentially growing and stationary cells in three cultivation media. Trans-encoded.
Source: RNAcentral
UACUGCUGUCUUUUUGGGAGUGGGACAGAAAUGAUAUUUUCGCAAAAUUUAUUUCGUCGUCCCACCCCAACUUGCACAUUAUUGUAAGCUGACUUUUCGUCAGCUUCUGUGUUGGGGCCCACACCCCAACUUGCAUUGCCUGUAGAAUUUCUUUUCGAAAUUCUCUGUGUUGGGGCCCCUGACUAUAAUUGAAAAAGCUUGUUACAAACGCAUUUUUGUUCAGUCAACUACUGCCAAUAUAACUUCGUAGAGCAUAGAACAUUGAUUUAU